CCCUACGGGGGGCAGCAGUGGGGAAUAUUGCACAAUGGGGGGAACCCUGAUGCAGCGACGCCGCGUGAGUGAAGAAGUAUUUCGGUAUGUAAAGCUCUAUCAGCAGGAACGAAAAUGACGGUACCUGACUAAGAAGCCCCGGCUAACUACGUGCCAGCAGCCGCGGUAAUACGUAGGGGGCAAGCGUUAUCCGGAUUUACUGGGUGUAAAGGGAGCGUAGACGGCGAUGCAAGUCUGAAGUGAAAGGCGGGGGCCCAACCCCCGGACUGCUUUGGAAACUGUAUGGCUGGAGUGCAGGAGAGGUA
Molecule: ribosomal RNA, 305 nt
Filed under: uncultured bacterium
Lineage: Bacteria
Description: partial 16S ribosomal RNA
Rfam family: Bacterial small subunit ribosomal RNA
Source: RNAcentral